AUAAUGACUCCGGUCCAAAGAUUUAUCGGUGAAGGAUUAGCCCGCGUCUGAUUAGCUAGUUGGUGAGGUAACGGCUCACCAAGGCGACGAUCAGUAGCUGGUCUGAGAGGAUGAUCAGCCACACUGGAACUGAGACACGGUCAGACUCCUACGGGAGGCAGCAGUUAGGAAUAUUGGACAAUGGGCGAAAGCCUGAUCCAGCCAUGCCGCGUGUGUGAAGAAGGCCUUAGGGUUGUAAAGCACUUUCGUCUGUGAAGAUAAUGACAGUAGCAGAAGAAGAAGCUCCGGCUAAAUUCGUGCCAGCAGCCGCGGUAAUACGAAUGGAGCGAGCGUUGUUCGGAAUCACUGGGCGUAAAGGGUGCGCAGGCGGUUAUGAAAGUCAGAAGUGAAAGCCCAGGGCUCAACCCUGGAAUUGCUUUUGAAACUCCAUAACUUGAGUAUUGGAGAGGUUAGCGGAAUUCCGAGUGUAGAGGUGAAAUUCGCAGAUAUUCGGAGGAACACCAAUGGCGUAGGCAGCUAACUGGACAAUUACUGACGCUCAUGCACGAAAGCGUGGGGAUCAAACAGGAUUAGAUACCCUGGUAGUCCACGCCCUAAACGAUGUGUGCUAGUUGUCGGGCCCUUUAGGGUUCGGUGACGCAGCUAACGCUUUAAGCACACCGCCUGGGGAGUACGGUCGCAAGAUUAAAACUCAAAGGAAUUGACGGGGACCCGCACAAGCGGUGGAGCAUGUUGUUUAAUU
RNAcentral lists this ribosomal RNA (742 nucleotides) under uncultured Alphaproteobacteria bacterium. Its description in RNAcentral is "bacterial SSU rRNA". It matches the Rfam family "Bacterial small subunit ribosomal RNA", at positions 173 to 951 of the family's 1533-position model. Lineage: Bacteria; Pseudomonadati; Pseudomonadota; Alphaproteobacteria. The record is from RNAcentral.